This 785-nucleotide long non-coding RNA is filed under the name Nicotiana tabacum (common tobacco). RNAcentral's name for it is "long non-coding RNA (NTAB_LNC007149)". The record is from RNAcentral. Lineage: Eukaryota; Viridiplantae; Streptophyta; Magnoliopsida; Solanales; Solanaceae.
GUCAUAUUGGCAUGCCUAGUAAUAUAUGUUGUGUUGUUGUGGAAUAUCUUCCUGGAGGCGCCUUAAAAUCUUACCUUAUCAAAAACAGAAGAAAGAAGCUAGCGUUCAAAGUUGUAGUGCAGAUGGCACUUGAUUUGGCCAGAGGGUAAGUGCACCUUGUUUCGUUUUCACAUUUCUAACACCGUGUCUCUAUCAAGGAUUUGUCAUUUAUCUGAAACCAGGUCCAUUAACUGAACUUUGUAGGUUAAGUUACCUUCACUCUCAGAAGAUUGUGCAUAGAGAUGUCAAGACAGAGAAUAUGCUAUUGGACAAGUCACGUACUGUAAAAAUUGCUGACUUUGGGGNCGCAGCUUUAUUUGUCCUGGUACUAGUCUAAUGUCAGCUGCCAAUCAUUUGAAAGAGCACAUUUCAAUGAGAGACAACAUAUCCACUGAUUGUUGGCUUAGAUGUGAAAUUAUUUUGUUAUAAACUGUUUAUCUUACAUAUGAAUACAUCUCUCUCGUGUUAUACAGUUCAUCGGAGCAACCAUGGGCGCAUCUGGGCUAAAUUUACAAACAGAAAGUGGUCAUAUUGGCAUGCCUAGUAAUAUAUGUUGUGUUGUUGUGGAAUAUCUUCCUGGAGGCGCCUUAAAAUCUUACCUUAUCAAAAACAGAAGAAAGAAGCUAGCGUUCAAAGUUGUAGUGCAGAUGGCACUUGAUUUGGCCAGAGGGUAAGUGCACCUUGUUUCGUUUUCACAUUUCUAACACCGUGUCUCUAUCAAGGAUUUGUCAUUUAUCUGAAACCAG